This 482-nucleotide ribosomal RNA is filed under the name uncultured bacterium. RNAcentral's name for it is "bacterial SSU rRNA". It matches the Rfam family "Bacterial small subunit ribosomal RNA", at positions 30 to 506 of the family's 1533-position model. The record is from RNAcentral.
UUGAACGCUGGCGGCAUGCCUUACACAUGCAAGUCGAACGGCAGCACGGGAGCAAUCCUGGUGGCGAGUGGCGAACGGGUGAGUAAUAUAUCGGAACGUGCCCAGUCGUGGGGGAUAACGCAGCGAAAGCUGUGCUAAUACCGCAUACGCCCUGAGGGGGAAAGUGGGGGAUCGCAAGACCUCACGUUAUUCGAGCGGCCGACGUCUGAUUAGCUAGUUGGUGGGGUAAAGGCUCACCAAGGCGACGAUCGGUAGCGGGUCUGAGAGGAUGAUCCGUCACACUGGAACUGAGACACGGUCCAGACUCCUACGGGAGGCAGCAGUGGGGAAUUUUGGACAAUGGGGGCAACCCUGAUCCAGCCAUUCCGCGUGAGUGAAGAAGGCCUUCGGGUUGUAAAGCUCUUUCAGCCGGAACGAAACGGUACGCUCUAACAUAGCGUGCUAAUGACGGUACCGGCAGAAGAAGCACCGGCUAACUACGU